CGUACCCCUCAACCCCCGAUCUGCUUCGGCGGAUCGAGCGGGCUUGGACCGUGGCCGCACUGGCCGGCGCAACUGAGCGUCUGGCCCGGCCGAAAUGCAUGCGAAGCGCUUAUAUCUGUGCGCCGCGACGACCUAGCGUUGUAGACACCUCGCUAGAUCCGAGUCGGUAUGACAGGAGCUUCAGCUCGAACCU
This 193-nucleotide unclassified non-coding RNA is filed under the name uncultured Sporobolomyces. RNAcentral describes it as "sequence contains ITS2". The record is from RNAcentral. Lineage: Eukaryota; Fungi; Basidiomycota.